Molecule: non-coding RNA, 549 nt
Organism: Pelobates cultripes (western spadefoot toad)
Lineage: Eukaryota; Metazoa; Chordata; Amphibia; Anura; Pelobatidae
Source: the annotation of a GenBank genome assembly
CUUCGGUGAGGGCGUCAUAGAGUGGCUGCAUGAGCUUUGAGGCUUCCGGUAUCCAGGACCUGCAGUAUGUAAUGAGACCCAAGAAGGCAUGAAGAGUCUGAUGUGUUGCAGGUAAUGGGAGUUGCAAAAUAGCUUGUACACGCUGAGAAGUUAGACGUCUGGUGCCAUGUGAAAGACAAUGUCCCAAGAAGACCACAGAGGGCCAGCACCAUUGCAGCUUGGAUUUGGAAGCUUUGCAACCGGCUUCAGCGAGAAAACAUAGGAGAUCUUCUGAGUCACGUUCAGCAAUAAGUGAAUCAGGAGCACAGAGAAGGAGGUCAUCAACAUAUUGAAGUAGGACAACAUCAGAGUGAGUUUUCUGCCAGGGUUCUAGUACCAAAGACAAGGCACGGGCAAACUGAGUGGGGGAAUUCUGGGCCCCCUGAGGUAUGACAGUCCAGGUGUAUUGUCCUUCAUGGGUAAAAGCGAAGAGGGAGCGACAGGAGGGGUCUAGUGGCACACUGAAAAAUGCAUUAGCCAGAUCUACUACAGUGAAUACUGUGGCUGUAG